CUUAGUAACGGCGAGUGAAGCGGCAAAAGCUCAAAUUUGAAAUCUGGUACCUUCGGUGCCCGAGUUGUAAUUUGGAGAGGGCAACUUUGGGGCCGUUCCUUGUCUAUGUUCCUUGGAACAGGACGUCAUAGAGGGUGAGAAUCCCGUGUGGCGAGGAGUGCGGUUCUUUGUAAAGUGCCUUCGAAGAGUCGAGUUGUUUGGGAAUGCAGCUCUAAGUGGGUGGUAAAUUCCAUCUAAAGCUAAAUAUUGGCGAGAGACCGAUAGCGAACAAGUACAGUGAUGGAAAGAUGAAAAGAACUUUGAAAAGAGAGUGAAAAAGUACGUGAAAUUGUUGAAAGGGAAGGGCAUUUGAUCAGACAUGGUGUUUUGUGCCCUCUGCUCCUUGUGGGUAGGGGAAUCUCGCAUUUCACUGGGCCAGCAUCAGUUUUGGUGGCAGGAUAAAUCCAUAGGAAUGUAGCUUGCCUCGGUAAGUAUUAUAGCCUGUGGGAAUACUGCCAGCUGGGACUGAGGACUGCGACGUAAGUCAAGGAUGCUGGCAUAAUGGUUAUAUGCCGCCCGUCUUGAAACCCGACACACA
RNAcentral lists this ribosomal RNA (577 nucleotides) under Saccharomyces cerevisiae (brewer's yeast). RNAcentral describes it as "partial large subunit ribosomal RNA". It matches the Rfam family "Eukaryotic large subunit ribosomal RNA", at positions 79 to 664 of the family's 3401-position model. Lineage: Eukaryota; Fungi; Ascomycota; Saccharomycetes; Saccharomycetales; Saccharomycetaceae. The record is from RNAcentral.